UGGAAACAGUGGAAAAGUUCUUGACAAUCCUCCCCUACAACUUACAAAUUGAAUGCCAUUUGCGGACUGCCUUCUGACAAGGUAUAUGAAAUUAGAGUACAGCAAUAGCUACGUACAUACAGGGCACAAGGCAAAGGAAAUUGCAAUCAAAAUCCAAUAAUUAGAAGAAUGGAUCUCAGCAGCCAGUCUUUCAAUUUGCCUCCAGGGGCCUGCAAUUCAUCUGAGAAAUCAGCAAUGUUGCUGCCAGCAGCACCACCACCAGCAUACCAGGACAAUCCUGCUGGAUAUCCUCACUCCUUUCCAAGCCAGCCAAUCCCCCAGGGCCCCUACACCCAGGGGUCGUAUCCAGGACAAACUGUGGUCGCUGUACAGCCUGCAGUUUUUGUGACUGCUGCUCCACUGGCCAAUCCAGUGCCAGAUUACUUGGGUUACUCCAUCUUUACCAUGCUGUGCUGCUGUUUACCUCUGGGAAUUGCUGCGCUGAUUUACUCCUGCUCUACUCGCACUGCUAACAGUACUGGACAGAGGACUAAAGCAGUGAGAAACUCUCAAAUUGCACUCGUCCUGAACCAUUUAGCCCUUGUGGUGGGCCUCAUCUUGACUGCAUCACUCAUCUUCUAUAAAUUGCAGAACAAAUGAUUGAAAAAUGUAUUAAGCAUAUUGAGUUUUGUACUCUCACAUGCAAUGUUUUCAUAAUGCUGACUGAAUAAUGCUGUACUGCGUUUAGCUAACUGAGACUUGUCAUAGCACUUGCAUAUCAUUGCUCUCUUGUUGAUCCAUUGUCUUCAUUUGUAAGUCGCUUUGGAUAAAAGUGUCUGCUAAAUGACUAAAUGUAAAUGAAUUAUUGUGAGAUUUUUUGUUCCGUUUUCAGAUUUUCAUAUUGCAUAAAAUAUAUUGUACUAUUAAUAUAUGCAAAAUCUUAUUUUUCAUAUUUUA
Molecule: long non-coding RNA, 936 nt
Organism: Cyprinus carpio carpio
Lineage: Eukaryota; Metazoa; Chordata; Actinopteri; Cypriniformes; Cyprinidae
Source: Ensembl